AGGCCGAAAGGCGUAGUCGAUGGGAAGCAGGUUAAUAUUCCUGCACGACUUGUAAUUGCGAUGGGGGGACGGAGAAGGCUAGGUGGGCCAGGCGACGGUUGUCCUGGUGAAAGUGCGUAGGUGGUGUUUCUAGGCAAAUCCGGAGACACAACACUGAGACACGAGACGAACGCACUACGGUGCGGAAGCCAUUGAUGCCCUGCUUCCAGGAAAAGCCUCUAAGCUUCAGAUUACAAGUCAUCGUACCCCAAACCGACAC
This 259-nucleotide ribosomal RNA is filed under the name Aeromonas hydrophila. RNAcentral's name for it is "23S ribosomal RNA". It matches the Rfam family "Bacterial large subunit ribosomal RNA", at positions 1399 to 1660 of the family's 2925-position model. The record is from RNAcentral. Lineage: Bacteria; Pseudomonadati; Pseudomonadota; Gammaproteobacteria; Aeromonadales; Aeromonadaceae.